GUCUACGGCCAUGCCACUCUGAACAAGCCCGAUUCCGUCUUAUCUCAGAAACUAAGCAAGAUUUGGUCUGGUUAGUACUUGGAUGGAAGACCACCUAGGAAGACCAGGUGCUGUAAGUG
RNAcentral lists this ribosomal RNA (119 nucleotides) under Pteropus alecto (black flying fox). The record is from RNAcentral. Lineage: Eukaryota; Metazoa; Chordata; Mammalia; Chiroptera; Pteropodidae.